Mastomys coucha (southern multimammate mouse) is the source of this 599-nucleotide long non-coding RNA. RefSeq lists it as uncharacterized. The transcript is spliced from 2 exons. The record is from RefSeq and is a predicted model, not a curated record. NCBI's taxonomy places the organism in Eukaryota, Metazoa, Chordata, Mammalia, Rodentia, Muridae.
GACCCCAUGGGUUGUUUGGCAAUGUCUACUAUCACAAAAUGGGUGGAAGGCAGGGGUGUUGUCGAGUAUUCCACACUUCAUAGGGCAGUCUACUGUGACAAGAAGUAGCUCUGCCCUUACAGGCUAAUAGUUCCUAAGAUGAGAGUCUUUUCUUUGGAGGAAUACAACUAAUUCCCAGUGCACUGACUGAUGACCGAGAGACCUGAGAUGUGAAGACACUUGCAGACUCAUAGGUUUUACUUGUUCAAGUUGCCAGAUGCUGGUGGUUCUAAGGAAGGCAUUAUUUGAGCCCUGAAGACUGCAGCUGUGGAAGAUCUUGAAGGUGACACCUGGAGCCUGCUGCUGUCUGCACUCCCCACAGCUGGCCUGCAGAUCCUGCUAGAAGUUGAUCUGGCUGUGGAGCCUAAAGUUUGCCACCUGCUGUUAACCUAUUGCUUAUGAUCCAGUAUCUCCUCUCAACAUCAGUUGCAUGCAAGUUCAUUUUAAUGUAUUUUUUUUCCUUUCAGAUUAGUUAAAUGAGUACUUUCUAGCUGUAUUUGUGCUUAGGUGCAUUUCUUACCAAAUGGCAAUUAAAAUUUUAUCUAACUGUCUACUGCAAA